Molecule: ribosomal RNA, 497 nt
Filed under: uncultured bacterium
Lineage: Bacteria
Description: partial 16S ribosomal RNA
Rfam family: Bacterial small subunit ribosomal RNA
Source: RNAcentral
GACGAACGCUGGCGGCGUGCCUAAUACAUGCAAGUUGAGCGCUGAAGGUUGGUACUUGUACCAACUGGAUGAGCAGCGAACGGGUGAGUAACGCGUGGGGAAUCUGCCUUUGGGCGGGGGACAACAUUUGGAAACGAAUGCUAAUACCGCAUAAAAACUUUAAACACAAGUUUUAAGUUUGAAAGAUGCAAUUGCAUCACUCAAAGAUGAUCCCGCGUUGUAUUAGCUAGUUGGUGAGGUAAAGGCUCACCAAGGCGAUGAUACAUAGCCGACCUGAGAGGGUGAUCGGCCACAUUGGGACUGAGACACGGCCCAAACUCCUACGGGAGGCAGCAGUAGGGAAUCUUCGGCAAUGGACGAAAGUCUGACCGAGCAACGCCGCGUGAGUGAAGAAGGUUUUCGGAUCGUAAAACUCUGUUGGUAGAGAAGAACGUUGGUGAGAGUGGAAAGCUCAUCAAGUGACGGUAACUACCCAGAAAGGUACGGCUAACUACGUG